UUUCUAUAAUUCUAAAGACGACACUUAAUAAGUGUGCUCUAAUAAUCUUAAUAAAAAUUUUAACCCAAAUAAUUGUUUCCCUCCGUAUAUCUAGAUCUACCCCCAAAUUCUAAAAGGCCAAAUAUUAUACUCAAAAGCUAAAAGGGUGUUGAUAAACUCUACAAACACCUAGGGGGAUUUCUCUGGUAAGCGCUUCUUGGUGAAAUUGAAUAUGAGAUUCCUGCUACAAUGAACAAGGCUACAAGGAAUGAAGCUCUUCUCGGCGAAAUUAUUGUUAUCAUUUUCGAUGAAAUUGAGUUAGAAUGGGUUUACUCCGCUAGUUCAAUCGAGAUUUCGCCAGAAAAUGCAGGUGAUCUAAGUCAAUUCAAUCAAUUGAUUUGAAUGAUGAGAACUUUUGAAUAAUUGUUAUGUUUGAAUUUACAUUUUAUUUUGUGGAAUUCAUUGUAGUGCACAUCUUUGAAAUAUUGACUUAUUAUAAGUUUGUGUAGUAGAAGACAUGUUGCUUUUCCCAAGUUUAUUGAAAUCUAUACAUUUGAAUUGUUA
Molecule: long non-coding RNA, 543 nt
Organism: Solanum dulcamara
Lineage: Eukaryota; Viridiplantae; Streptophyta; Magnoliopsida; Solanales; Solanaceae
Exons: 2
Source: RefSeq, a predicted model, not a curated record